CCUACGGGAGGCAGCAGUGGGGAAUAUUGGACAAUGGGCGAAAGCGAUCCAGCAAUGCCGCGUGUGUGACGAAGGCCUAGGGUUGUAAAGCACUUUCACCCGCGAGGAUGAUGACGGUAGCGGGAGAAGAAGCCCCGGCUAACUCCGUGCCAGCAGCCGCGGUAAUACGGAGGGGGCGAGCGUUGUUCGGAAUUACUGGGCGUAAAGGGCGUGUAGGCGGCCUUGUCAGUCAGGCGUGAAAUCCCCGGGCUCAACCUGGGACGUGCGCUUGAUACUGCAGGGCUUGAGAGCGAGAGAGGUAAGCGGAAUUCCCAGUGUAGAGGUGAAAUUCGUAGAUAUUGGGAAGAACACCAGUGGCGAAGGCGGCUUACUGGCUCGUUUCUGACGCUGAGGCGCGAAAGCGUGGGGAGCGAACAGGAUUAGAUACCCUGGUAGUCCACGCCGUAAACGAUGUGUGCCAGACGUCGGGGGUUAGGCCUUCGGUGUCGCAGCUAACGCAUUAAGCACACCGCCUGGGGAGUACGGCCGCAAGGUUAAAACUCAAAGGAAUUGACGG
RNAcentral lists this ribosomal RNA (556 nucleotides) under uncultured bacterium. RNAcentral's name for it is "bacterial SSU rRNA". It matches the Rfam family "Bacterial small subunit ribosomal RNA", at positions 338 to 916 of the family's 1533-position model. The record is from RNAcentral.